RNAcentral lists this ribosomal RNA (497 nucleotides) under uncultured bacterium. Its description in RNAcentral is "partial 16S ribosomal RNA". It matches the Rfam family "Bacterial small subunit ribosomal RNA", at positions 28 to 507 of the family's 1533-position model. The record is from RNAcentral.
GAUGAACGCUGGCGGCGUGCCUAAUACAUGCGAGUCGAGCGAACGGACGAGAAGCUUGCUUCUCUGAUGUUAGCGGCGGACGGGUGAGUAACACGUGGAUAACCUACCUAUAAGACUGGGAUAACUUCGGGAAACCGGAGCUAAUACCGGAUGAUAUUUUGAACUGCAUGGUUCAAAAGUGAAAGACGGUCUUGCUGUCACUUAUAGAUGGAUCCGCGCUGCAUUAGCUAGUUGGUAAGGUAACGGCUUACCAAGGCAACGAUGCAUAGCCGACCUGAGAGGGUGAUCGGCCACACUGGAACUGAGACACGGUCCAGACUCCUACGGGAGGCAGCAGUAGGGAAUCUUCCGCAAUGGGCGAAAGCCUGACGGAGCAACGCCGCGUGAGUGAUGAAGGUCUUCGGAUCGUAAAACUCUGUUAUUAGGGAAGAACAUAUGUGUAAGUAACUGUGCACAUCUUGACGGUACCUAAUCAGAAAGCCACGGCUAACUACGUG